GUAAUUUAAACAGUAAUACUUAUACUAAAAUUGUAACGAUUCAAAGAAGAUUAGCAUGGCCCCUGCGCAAGGGUGACACACAAAUUCGCGAAGCGUUCCAUAUUCUU
This is a small nuclear RNA of Octopus sinensis (East Asian common octopus), 107 nucleotides long. The record is from RefSeq and is a predicted model, not a curated record. NCBI's taxonomy places the organism in Eukaryota, Metazoa, Mollusca, Cephalopoda, Octopoda, Octopodidae.